GCCCCCGUAGCUCAAUGGACAGAGCAACUGCCUUCUAAGCAGGAGGUUGUGGGUUCGAAUCCCGCCGGGGGCGCAA
This 76-nucleotide transfer RNA is filed under the name Anaerolineaceae bacterium. Its description in RNAcentral is "tRNA-Arg". It matches the Rfam family "tRNA". Rfam says of the family: Transfer RNA (tRNA) molecules are approximately 80 nucleotides in length. Their secondary structure includes four short double-helical elements and three loops (D, anti-codon, and T loops). Further hydrogen bonds mediate the characteristic L-shaped molecular structure. tRNAs have two regions of fundamental functional importance: the anti-codon, which is responsible for specific mRNA codon recognition, and the 3' end, to which the tRNAs corresponding amino acid is attached (by aminoacyl-tRNA synthetases). tRNAs cope with the degeneracy of the genetic code in two manners: having more than one tRNA (with a specific anti-codon) for a particular amino acid; and 'wobble' base-pairing, i.e. permitting non-standard base-pairing at the 3rd anti-codon position. The record is from RNAcentral. Lineage: Bacteria; Bacillati; Chloroflexota; Anaerolineae; Anaerolineales; Anaerolineaceae.